CCAAAGGCUCUUUUCAGAGCCACCUAACACUUCCCAAGAAAGAGCUU
Equus caballus (horse) is the source of this 47-nucleotide non-coding RNA. NCBI's taxonomy places the organism in Eukaryota, Metazoa, Chordata, Mammalia, Perissodactyla, Equidae. The record is from Rfam.